GACGAACGCUGGCGGCGUGCCUAAUACAUGCAAGUCGAACGCUGAAGGAGGAGCUUGCUUCUCUGGAUGAGUUGCGAACGGGUGAGUAACGCGUAGGUAACCUGCCUGGUAGCGGGGGAUAACUCUUGGAAACGAUAGCUAAUACCGCAUAAGAUUGACUAUUGCAUGAUAGUCAGUUAAAAGGUGCAAUUGCAUCACUACCAGAUGGACCUGCGUUGGAUUAGCUAGUUGGUGGGGUAACGGCUCACCAAGGCGACGAUACAUAGCCGACCUGAGAGGGGGAUCGGCCACCCUGGGACUGGGGCACGGCCCAGGCUCCCACGGGAGGCAGCAGUAGGGAAUCUUCGGCAAUGGACGGAAGUCUGACCGGGGAACGCCGCGGGAGGGAAGAAGGGUUUCGGAUCGGAAAGCUCCGUUGUAAGAGAAGAACGAGUGGUGGAGUUGAAAGUGCACGCUGUGACGGUACCUUACCAGAAAGCGACGGCUAACUACGUG
This 495-nucleotide ribosomal RNA is filed under the name uncultured bacterium. RNAcentral describes it as "partial 16S ribosomal RNA". It matches the Rfam family "Bacterial small subunit ribosomal RNA", at positions 28 to 507 of the family's 1533-position model. The record is from RNAcentral.